GACGAACGCUGGCGGCGUGCUUAACACAUGCAAGUCGAACGAUGAAGCCUUUCGGGGUGGAUUAGUGGCGAACGGGUGAGUAACACGUGGGCAAUCUGCCCUGUACUUUGGGAUAAGCCUUGGAAACGAGGUCUAAUACCGGAUAUGACUGGCCUUCGCAUGGGGUUGGGUUGAAAGUUACUGGCGGUACAGGAUGAGCCCGCGGCCUAUCAGCUUGUUGGUGGGGUAAGUGGCCUACCAAGGCGACGACGGGUAGCCGGCCUGAGAGGGCGACCGGCC
RNAcentral lists this ribosomal RNA (279 nucleotides) under uncultured bacterium. RNAcentral describes it as "partial 16S ribosomal RNA". It matches the Rfam family "Bacterial small subunit ribosomal RNA", at positions 28 to 309 of the family's 1533-position model. The record is from RNAcentral.